CUUUGAUGUUCUCAAAGCUCUCAAAAAGUUUUGAAUAUAUACCGGACACCGCGUUGUUUCAGCACUGAGGUGGCAGUUAAAAGGCAGCCGUGGAGCAGCCACGGCUCACGUACCUCAGUGGCGGCUGCUACCAUAGCAACCUGACGUAGGGGAGGCGUGACAUCACACACAGCAGGAGCCGGAAGUCGCGGGAGCGCGGUGUGAAUGGAGAUGCCGGGGGCGUUCUUCUUUCACGUACUGGCGGGUUUCUACCCUUACUUAAGGUCUUCUAUUGUGGAUAUGACUCACCACUACUAGUACAUCGAUUCAUGUGGCUCCUCUGAGAUUAUAUAAACCACCAAAAUAAAGACUUUUAUUUAC
Molecule: long non-coding RNA, 360 nt
Organism: Pseudophryne corroboree (corroboree frog)
Lineage: Eukaryota; Metazoa; Chordata; Amphibia; Anura; Myobatrachidae
Exons: 3
Source: RefSeq, a predicted model, not a curated record